Molecule: ribosomal RNA, 215 nt
Filed under: uncultured bacterium
Lineage: Bacteria
Description: partial 16S ribosomal RNA
Rfam family: Bacterial small subunit ribosomal RNA
Source: RNAcentral
UGGGAACGUGCCCAAAGGUACGGAACAACUCCGGGAAACUGGAGCUAAUACCGUAUGUGCCCAAAGGGGAAAGAUUCAUCGCCUUUGGAUCGGCCCGCGUCUGAUUAGCUAGUUGGCGGGAUAAUGGCCCACCAAGGCGACGAUCAGUAGCUGGUCUGAGAGGAUGACCAGCCACACUGGGACUGGGACACGGCCCAGACUCCUACGGGAGGCAG